UGGGAAGGAGCCGGGGACGCGGGUGGUGUCAUGGCCGCCACGGGGCGGGAGCCGCCGCCGCCCUCGGGCCCGGGACGGGCGGGUUUCCUGAGGCAGGACUUGCUGCACGAUGUAACGUUUGUAAUUCCUACGUGCGUGUGGCCCGAACAAAGAUGCGUUGAAGUGUUCACAUCGCGUUCUGGCCCCUUUGUGCGGAGGAACUGCCCUUUUCCAGCCGCCGUGUGUGUGCAGUGGUGCUUCCUCCUGUUCGUUUGGAAACACGAGAGGAUCCUGACAGGAUUUGAGCCCCAUUCCUGCCCAGCGACCGUGGAGGUGACGGAGGGCCCUGCGAGCCACCAGGCCCAGCAAACCCCUUGGGUAGUGGGAGGCCCCAGGGCCCAGUGCAAGGCCUGUGGCCUCUGCUGCGUUUAAGCCAUUCAAUUUAAUACGUUUUUGCACCUCAUUCGAUUUUUCCACCCAUUGUCCAUUCUUAAAGACAAUUGCUGUGACUCAUGACUUGUCGUGGAGGGGACACAUGUGAAAUCCAGCUGCUGUGGCAUCCCCUGUUUAACUUUCAUCUGGGGGAACACGGCUUAUGCUUGAAUUACAUGGAAUUUUUUGGGGUUGUCAUCCCCGUGUAACAAGGAAAGGAAACAAAAGGAGAGGCUGGGAGGCAGAGGCGCCUCUUCUCAGCCCUCGGAGGAAGGAUGGAAGGUGCUGGAAGCAUGGCGACAAUAGAGGGCACUCUCGUCAUUGCACUUGAACAGAUCUUCUGUCUUCGAUGUCAUUUUGAUUUAGAAAAUAAAAAGGAAGUAGGAGCCACAUGCACCGCAGCCUGCCCAGUGUCAUCCCAGCUCAUCGGCUCUUUGGGUGUCAAAGGGAGCGGUGCCUGAGCUGCACCAAGGUGUGCACAGCGCUGACACACACACCACCCUGUCUGGGCUGUGCAAACUUCUGCAGAAGACGCUUUGCUUUCUGAGAGUUUGCUCUAAACCCACAGAAAGUCAAUGGCCGUUUUUCCAAUGGGGUCUUGCUCUCUGUAGGAAGAUCAAGUGCCUGACCCUGCCUGAGAGGCUGCAUGUGGAAGAUGCGUUGUGCGUGGGCUGCAGCUGCUGCCCGCCGGCCCUGGGCCACCGUUGGCAGCAUGUGCCCAGCAAAAGCUCCUUCCACAGAGACAGUGUUGAAAAAGGACAUUCAGUCCCAGCAGAGAUUCCCUUGUGCUCAUCCGAACGUCAUCUUAACGUCUAUUUUUGGAUCACGUCUUCCUUCCAAAUCAAACACCUGGCAUGUGAGCGUGGGUCCCACUGGGAUGGAAUCUCUGCUGCGGAGCAUUUACGAUGCAAAGCCCAGACCAGAAUCCUGCAUGAGAUGCUUUUCCCCCGGCUCCCUGGAUGCAGAGGAUGGACCAGCAAGGUUGAGCAGCACCUUCCCUGACCCAGAACCAUCUCCUGCCUUGCACUAUGAACCGCAGGGCAAGUCUGGCCUUAGAAGUCACAGCCUUGGAAUAUUUAUUGGUUCUUCACACGACUGACAAAACAGAAAUGAGGCAAGAAACAGGGCUGGAUGCAGAGCAACACUUUAGUUGUGGAGAGUUCAGGGCUUUCAGACUGGUUUCAUUCUUUUUAUUUUUCUUUUUUUUCUUUCUUUUGGUGACAUUUUAGUUGUUGUGGCUUCUUUUCCUUUAGGAGACUCUAAUUGGCUAAAGCCAAAGUUGUUGAUGGGAGCUGAUUUGACAAAUUUCCCAGUUCAAAACCAUUUCCUUCGGGAGGAAGCAUUGAAACUGUUGAAACAAGCAUGUCUGUAGUCUUUAAACAAAAAAUGUUUUGGUUUAGGGUUCAAAAUAAGUUGAAAAUAAGCAAGACAAAUAAAAGAGUCAAUUUUAGCUUGAAAAAUGAAAGACAAAACCAUCUAAAUCAAAACGAACCCUGUUUUCAUAUCACUUACAUACAGUGGUUUUAUAGCCCUGAAUUAUUUAUUUAACAUUUCAUUCUCAAGUCAUGAAAAAUCUCUAGUUUCAGUGCUUGUCUUAAUUGGAAGGGGAUAUUUUUUCAGCGGGUGCAGUUUGGAAAGCAGCUCCGGUCUCUAAAGCUGUUUUUUCCCCUCUGGUGUUCAGAGCUGCUUGGUUUGCAGACUCGGCUCUUCCCAUCUCAAAUGGGAGAAAUCCCUCCUGGGUGUGGAGACAAAGCCCUCGGUGGGUGAAAUGGGUUCCAGGAGAGGACAUGGCACAGGUGAUCCAGGGCUGCUGACUGAUUAAAGUGAACCAGAGAAGAUUUUUCUGAUACUGAAGUGACUUCUGAACAGGCACCAUCAACUUCUGCCUUAAUAAUCCUAAUAGCCCAUGUUGAGUGCCCAAUCCAAGACCUUGUAGGAACCAACCUGCUUUUUUGGUGACUUCAGUGACAUUUGAAGAAGGUUUGUAAGCCUUGAUGAAAAAUUUUCCACCAAAAUGUGGCACACUCUGUCUUGGACCAUGACAAUAAAUAUUCGCCCAUAUUACCUGCAUCACUCAGGCUUUCUUUAGAUGGAAGUUGGGUCUAUCUACUCCUUCACUCAUCUUACCUCAUUUCCAAAUUCCUGACGGUCCCUGAAAAGGGGCGAAGAGGCUGGUGAUGCUGAGCAGGUGGCAGGGGAAGCAAAAAGGCUAAUUUGGUGUCACAGUUUAGGAACUGAUAGUGGAUUAAGAAACUAUGAAUAAAUUUUGCUUCUAGAUAUUACUUUAAAUGUUGUUUUACUUGAAUUCAAGGUCAAUGUAUUGACCUUCUCAAGAUUAAUGCCUCAAUGAUUUAGGAAGAAAAAGCAUAUGCAAGGCCAAAUUGAUUCUUGUGUUAAUUAUGUCUUUGUACAACACAAAAUGUAUUUUGAUACAUUUUCCAUGAUACCUGGAAAGACAUUUCUGCUCAUCAGGUUAUUGAUGUUCCAGGCAAUGACAAGGAUGCUGGGAGUGUACAGAUUGCUUAAGCGGUAUUCCUUAUGCACAAACAUUUCUUCACUGCAAAAACCUACUAAAACAAGUAAAUUUCCCAUGAAAUGAGAUGAGAUCUGUUUGCUUCUGCCCUACUUUACCUCCAGUGUGAAAUCUUGGCAGUUGAGCAAAAACUCAACACAAGCCAAUUUAUGGAAUCAAUUGUGACAACUCACAUGGGUCUGAGUUUUACCUCCCUGAAACCUUUGGCAAAACAUCUGCAGCUCCUUGUUAGCACAUGCAAAUAGAUCUGGGGCUGUAAUCACUGAUCGAGUGGCAGCACUAAGUGAGGGGGUGCCCAGUGCUGCCCUUCGGGGAUCCCAGUGCCUUGUCAAUACUUGUAUCAAUGACCCAGAGGAAAAUCUGGAAUCAUUACUAAUAAAGAAUGCAGAUGACUCAG
Columba livia (rock pigeon) is the source of this 3341-nucleotide long non-coding RNA. RefSeq lists it as uncharacterized. The record is from RefSeq and is a predicted model, not a curated record. The transcript has 3 exons. NCBI's taxonomy places the organism in Eukaryota, Metazoa, Chordata, Aves, Columbiformes, Columbidae.